This 85-nucleotide non-coding RNA is filed under the name Rhizobacter sp. Root29. Its description in RNAcentral is "Glycine riboswitch aptamer". It matches the Rfam family "Glycine riboswitch aptamer", at positions 9 to 86 of the family's 94-position model. From Rfam's summary of the family: This family represents the bacterial glycine riboswitch. Lineage: Bacteria; Pseudomonadati; Pseudomonadota; Betaproteobacteria; Burkholderiales; Sphaerotilaceae. The record is from Rfam by way of RNAcentral. RNAcentral also lists the same sequence under 1 other name.
GCCAGGAGAGAGCUUCCACGCGAAGCCGCCGAAGGCGCAGGACCGGCAGCGAUGCCGGCUCGAACGCUCAGGCAAAAGGACUGGC